This 1397-nucleotide ribosomal RNA is filed under the name Escherichia coli O26:H11. Its description in RNAcentral is "bacterial LSU rRNA". It matches the Rfam family "Bacterial large subunit ribosomal RNA", at positions 1492 to 2864 of the family's 2925-position model. The record is from RNAcentral. Lineage: Bacteria; Pseudomonadati; Pseudomonadota; Gammaproteobacteria; Enterobacterales; Enterobacteriaceae.
CGGGCGACGGUUGUCCCGGUUUAAGCGUGUAGGCUGGUUUUCCAGGCAAAUCCGGAAAAUCAAGGCUGAGGCGUGAUGACGAGGCACUGCGGUGCUGAAGCAACAAAUGCCCUGCUUCCAGGAAAAGCCUCUAAGCAUCAGGUAACAUCAAAUCGUACCCCAAACCGACACAGGUGGUCAGGUAGAGAAUACCAAGGCGCUUGAGAGAACUCGGGUGAAGGAACUAGGCAAAAUGGUGCCGUAACUUCGGGAGAAGGCACGCUGAUAUGUAGGUGAAGUCCCUCGCGGAUGGAGCUGAAAUCAGUCGAAGAUACCAGCUGGCUGCAACUGUUUAUUAAAAACACAGCACUGUGCAAACACGAAAGUGGACGUAUACGGUGUGACGCCUGCCCGGUGCCGGAAGGUUAAUUGAUGGGGUUAGCGCAAGCGAAGCUCUUGAUCGAAGCCCCGGUAAACGGCGGCCGUAACUAUAACGGUCCUAAGGUAGCGAAAUUCCUUGUCGGGUAAGUUCCGACCUGCACGAAUGGCGUAAUGAUGGCCAGGCUGUCUCCACCCGAGACUCAGUGAAAUUGAACUCGCUGUGAAGAUGCAGUGUACCCGCGGCAAGACGGAAAGACCCCGUGAACCUUUACUAUAGCUUGACACUGAACAUUGAGCCUUGAUGUGUAGGAUAGGUGGGAGGCUUUGAAGUGUGGACGCCAGUCUGCAUGGAGCCGACCUUGAAAUACCACCCUUUAAUGUUUGAUGUUCUAACGUUGACCCGUAAUCCGGGUUGCGGACAGUGUCUGGUGGGUAGUUUGACUGGGGCGGUCUCCUCCUAAAGAGUAACGGAGGAGCACGAAGGUUGGCUAAUCCUGGUCGGACAUCAGGAGGUUAGUGCAAUGGCAUAAGCCAGCUUGACUGCGAGCGUGACGGCGCGAGCAGGUGCGAAAGCAGGUCAUAGUGAUCCGGUGGUUCUGAAUGGAAGGGCCAUCGCUCAACGGAUAAAAGGUACUCCGGGGAUAACAGGCUGAUACCGCCCAAGAGUUCAUAUCGACGGCGGUGUUUGGCACCUCGAUGUCGGCUCAUCACAUCCUGGGGCUGAAGUAGGUCCCAAGGGUAUGGCUGUUCGCCAUUUAAAGUGGUACGCGAGCUGGGUUUAGAACGUCGUGAGACAGUUCGGUCCCUAUCUGCCGUGGGCGCUGGAGAACUGAGGGGGGCUGCUCCUAGUACGAGAGGACCGGAGUGGACGCAUCACUGGUGUUCGGGUUGUCAUGCCAAUGGCACUGCCCGGUAGCUAAAUGCGGAAGAGAUAAGUGCUGAAAGCAUCUAAGCACGAAACUUGCCCCGAGAUGAGUUCUCCCUGACUCCUUGAGAGUCCUGAAGGAACGUUGAAGACGACGACGUUGAUAGGCCGG